AGAGUUUGAUCCUGGCUCAGAUUGAACGCUGGCGGAAUGCUUUACGCAUGCAAGUCGAACGGCAGCACGGGAGCUUGCUCCUGGUGGCGAGUGGCGAACGGGUGAGUAACAUAUCGGAACAUAUCCAGUAAUGGGGGAUAACGCAGCGAAAGUUGUGCUAAUACCGCAUACGCUCUACGGAGGAAAGUGGGGGAUUCGCAAGAACCUCACGUUAUUGGAGUGGCCGAUAUCUGAUUAGCUAGUUGGUGGGGUAAAGGCCCACCAAGGCAUCGAUCAGUAGCUGGUCUGAGAGGAUGAUCAGCCACACUGGAACUGAGACACGGUCCAGACUCCUACGGGAGGCAGCAGUGGGGAAUUUUGGACAAUGGGGGCAACCCUGAUCCAGCCAUUCCGCGUGGGUGAAGAAGGCCUUCGGGUUGUAAAGCUCUUUCAGGGGGGAAGAAACGGCGCCGGCCAAUACCCGACGUUAAUGACGGUACCCCCAGAAGAAGCACCGGCUAACUACGUGCCAGCAGCCGCGGUAAUAC
RNAcentral lists this ribosomal RNA (527 nucleotides) under uncultured ultramicrobacterium. RNAcentral describes it as "bacterial SSU rRNA". It matches the Rfam family "Bacterial small subunit ribosomal RNA", at positions 8 to 526 of the family's 1533-position model. The record is from RNAcentral.